RNAcentral lists this ribosomal RNA (282 nucleotides) under Pseudomonas sp. ZA4. RNAcentral's name for it is "partial 16S ribosomal RNA". It matches the Rfam family "Bacterial small subunit ribosomal RNA", at positions 74 to 358 of the family's 1533-position model. The record is from RNAcentral. Lineage: Bacteria; Pseudomonadati; Pseudomonadota; Gammaproteobacteria; Pseudomonadales; Pseudomonadaceae.
GGGAGCUUGCUCCUGGAUUCAGCGGCGGACGGGUGAGUAAUGCCUAGGAAUCUGCCUGGUAGUGGGGGAUAACGUCCGGAAACGGGCGCUAAUACCGCAUACGUCCUGAGGGAGAAAGUGGGGGAUCUUCGGACCUCACGCUAUCAGAUGAGCCUAGGUCGGAUUAGCUAGUUGGUGGGGUAAAGGCCUACCAAGGCGACGAUCCGUAACUGGUCUGAGAGGAUGAUCAGUCACACUGGAACUGAGACACGGUCCAGACUCCUACGGGAGGCAGCAGUGGGA